UUUUUAGAGUCAAGUUAAUAACUUGUUCACACAAAAGUUAUCAAAAUUUUAUAGCGUAUAUCAAUAUCUGAAGCAUACAUAUGAAAUCAAACUAACAUAAGUAUUUAGAAAUAACCACUAAAAUUCAAAGUUGCUUGUAUGAAAAUGUAACAUAGAGAUAAUUAAUUCACUUAAUUGCUACGGUGUACCCACAUCUCAUCUCUAAUAUGAUUUCUCUUCAUUGUCAUUUCAGCUGCACCUUCAUUAGAUAACCUUGUUAAGUUGUCGACAUUGGAACUUGUUCCUUCUAU
This 290-nucleotide long non-coding RNA is filed under the name Lathyrus oleraceus (garden pea). RNAcentral's name for it is "Pisum sativum (pea) long non-coding RNA (PSAT_LNC040678)". Lineage: Eukaryota; Viridiplantae; Streptophyta; Magnoliopsida; Fabales; Fabaceae. The record is from RNAcentral.